GACGAACGCUGGCGGCGUGCUUAACACAUGCAAGUCGAGCGGUAAGGCCCUUUCGGGGGUACACGAGCGGCGAACGGGUGAGUAACACGUGGGUGACCUGCCUUUAGCUCUGGGAUAAGCCUGGGAAACUGGGUCUAAUACCGGAUAUGACUCCAUGAUGCAUGUUGUGGGGUGGAAAGCCUUGUGCGGCUGGAGAUGGGCCCGCGGCCUAUCAGCUUGUUGGUGGGGUGAUGGCCUACCAAGGCGACGACGGGUAGCCGGCCUGAGAGGGCGACCGGCCACACUGGGACUGAGACACGGCCCAGACUCCUACGGGAGGCAGCAGUGGGGAAUCUUGCGCAAUGGGCGAAAGCCUGACGCAGCGAC
Molecule: ribosomal RNA, 366 nt
Filed under: uncultured bacterium
Lineage: Bacteria
Description: bacterial SSU rRNA
Rfam family: Bacterial small subunit ribosomal RNA
Source: RNAcentral